This 489-nucleotide ribosomal RNA is filed under the name uncultured bacterium. Its description in RNAcentral is "partial 16S ribosomal RNA". It matches the Rfam family "Bacterial small subunit ribosomal RNA", at positions 30 to 507 of the family's 1533-position model. The record is from RNAcentral.
AUUGAACGCUGGCGGCAGGCCUAACACAUGCAAGUCGAACGGUAACAGGAAGAAGCUUGCUUCUUUGCUGACGAGUGGCGGACGGGUGAGUAAUGUCUGGGAAACUGCCUGGUGGAGGGGAUAACUACUGGAAACGGUAGCUAAUACCGCAUAACGUCGCAAGACCAAAGAGGGGGACCUUCGGGCCUCUUGCCAUCGGAUGUGCCCAGAUGGGAUUAGCUAGUAGGUGGGGUAACGGCUCACCUAGGCGACGAUCCCUAGCUGGUCUGAGAGGAUGACCAGCCACACUGGAACUGAGACACGGUCCAGACUCCUACGGGAGGCAGCAGUGGGGAAUAUUGCACAAUGGGCGCAAGCCUGAUGCAGCCAUGCCGCGUGUAUGAAGAAGGCCUUCGGGUUGUAAAGUACUUUCAGCGGGGAGGAAGGGAGUAAAGUUAAUACCUUUGCUCAUUGACGUUACCCGCAGAAGAAGCACCGGCUAACUCCGUG